GACAGAGGGUGCAAACGUUGUUCGGAAUUACUGGGCGUAAAGCGCGUGUAGGCGGCCCUGCAAGUCGGAUGUGAAAUCCCACGGCUCAACCGUGGAAGUGCAUUCGAAACUGCAGGGCUAGAGUCCUGGAGAGGAAGGUGGAAUGCUUGGUGUAGAGGUGAAAUUCGUAGAUAUCAAGCGGAACACCGGUGGCGAAGGCGGCCUUCUGGACAGUGACUGACGCUGAGGCACGAAAGCGUGGGGAGCAAACAGG
RNAcentral lists this ribosomal RNA (253 nucleotides) under uncultured bacterium. RNAcentral describes it as "partial 16S ribosomal RNA". It matches the Rfam family "Bacterial small subunit ribosomal RNA", at positions 524 to 776 of the family's 1533-position model. The record is from RNAcentral.